AACGCUGGCGGCGUGCCUAACACAUGCAAGUCGAACGAAGCAUCUGGAGCAGAUCUCUUCGGAGUGACGCACCUUAUGACUUAGUGGCGGACGGGUGAGUAACACGUGAGCAACCUGCCUUUCAGAGUGGAAUAACAGUUGGAAACGGCUGCUAAUACCACAUAACGUUUUUGUGCCGCAUGACACGAUAACCAAAGAUUUAUCGCUGAGAGAUGGGCUCGCGUCCGAUUAGGUAGAUGGUGAGGUAACGGCUCACCAUGCCGACGAUCGGUAGCCGGACUGAGAGGUUGAUCGGCCACAUUGGGACUGAGACACGGCCCAGACUCCUACGGGAGGCAGCAGUGGGGGAUAUUGCACAAUGGGCGCAAGCCUGAUGCAGCAACGCCGCGUGCGGGAAGACGGCCUUCGGGUUGUAAACCGCUGUCCUUGGGGAAGAAACAAAUGACGGUACCCAAGAAGGAAGCCACGGCUAACUACGUGCC
This 482-nucleotide ribosomal RNA is filed under the name uncultured organism. RNAcentral describes it as "SSU rRNA". It matches the Rfam family "Bacterial small subunit ribosomal RNA", at positions 32 to 509 of the family's 1533-position model. The record is from RNAcentral.